UUCCUACGGGGGGCAGCAGUGGGGAAUCUUGCGCAAUGGGCGAAAGCCUGACGCAGCAACGCCGCGUGGGGGAUGAAGGCUCUCGGGUUGUAAACCCCUUUCAGCAGGGACGAAUCAAGACGGUACCUGCAGAAGAAGCCCCGGCUAACUACGUGCCAGCAGCCGCGGUAACACGUAGGGGGCAAGCGUUGUCCGGAUUUAUUGGGCGUAAAGAGCUCGUAGGCGGCUGAGUAAGUCGGAUGUUAAAUCCCCAGGCUCAACCUGGGACACCACCCGAUACUGCUCUGGCUAGAGUCCGGUAGGGGAGCAUGGAAUUCCUGGUGUAGCGGUGAAAUGCGCAGAUAUCAGGAGGAACACCAGCGGCGAAGGCGGUGCUCUGGGCCGGAACUGACGCUGAGGAGCGAAAGCGUGGGUAGCAAACAGGAUUAGAUACCCUAGUAGUC
Molecule: ribosomal RNA, 443 nt
Filed under: uncultured Acidimicrobiales bacterium
Lineage: Bacteria; Bacillati; Actinomycetota; Acidimicrobiia; Acidimicrobiales
Description: bacterial SSU rRNA
Rfam family: Bacterial small subunit ribosomal RNA
Source: RNAcentral